AGCCUGAUCCAGCAAUGCCGCGUGUGUGAAGAAGGCCUUCGGGUUGUAAAGCACUUUUGUCCGGAAAGAAAUGGCUCUGGUUAAUACCUGGGGUCGAUGACGGUACCGGAAGAAUAAGGACCGGCUAACUACGUGCCAGCAGCCGCGGUAAUACGUAGGGUCCAAGCGUUAAUCGGAAUUACUGGGCGUAAAGCGUGCGCAGGCGGUUGUGCAAGACCGAUGUGAAAUCCCCGAGCUUAACUUGGGAAUUGCAUUGGUGACUGCACGGCUAGAGUGUGUCAGAGGGGGGUAGAAUUCCACGUGUAGCAGUGAAAUGCGUAGAGAUGUGGAGGAAUACCGAUGGCGAAGGCAGCCCCCUGGGAUAACACUGACGCUCAUGCACGAAAGCGUGGGGAGCAAACAGGAUUAGAUACCCUGGUAGUCCACGCCCUAAACGAUGUCAACUAGUUGUUGGGGAUUCAUUUCCUUAGUAACGUAGCUAACGCGUGAAGUUGACCGCCU
RNAcentral lists this ribosomal RNA (501 nucleotides) under uncultured Ralstonia sp. Its description in RNAcentral is "bacterial SSU rRNA". It matches the Rfam family "Bacterial small subunit ribosomal RNA", at positions 380 to 874 of the family's 1533-position model. The record is from RNAcentral. Lineage: Bacteria; Pseudomonadati; Pseudomonadota; Betaproteobacteria; Burkholderiales; Burkholderiaceae.